RNAcentral lists this ribosomal RNA (253 nucleotides) under uncultured bacterium. Its description in RNAcentral is "partial 16S ribosomal RNA". It matches the Rfam family "Bacterial small subunit ribosomal RNA", at positions 524 to 776 of the family's 1533-position model. The record is from RNAcentral.
UACGGAGGGAGCUAGCGUUGUUCGGAAUCACUGGGCGUAAAGCGCAUGUAGGCGGCUUGUCGUGUCAGAUGUGAAAGCCCACGGCUCAACCGUGGAAGAGCAUUUGAAACUGGCAGGAUAGAAUACUGGAGAGGGUUGUAGAAUACCAGGUGUAGAGGUGAAAUUCGUAGAUAUCUGGUAGAAUACCGGUGGCGAAGGCGGCAACCUGGACAGAUAUUGACGCUGAGAUGCGAAAGCGUGGGGAGCGAACAGG